UUUUCUCUGGCCUCAAAGUAAAGACUAGGUAAUUUGGAUUUGAAAUGUGUGUACUUUGAUUUCCGUUCUUAGAAAAAAUAUAGUGGAGGUUGAUGUGGUCUCUGAGAUAGUUGCAGGCCUUUACAAAGGGUUGAUCUGGAAAAGAGACGUGCAGAGAAAGAACGGGCAGAAAAAGGGCACGUGCCUUAUGGACUUCCCAACCCACUGAACAUGAAACUUCACUGCAAUCAAUGGUAUUCCAACUAGCAGCCCAUCCACCCUUCCCAGCAUCUGAUAUGGGUUGGGGUAAAGAAUUAGGCCAAGUACAAGACUAAUAUACUAUUUUGGACUCUAUUUAUUUGGCUACUUGAAUUUGUAACAUUGUAUCUGAAGAUUGUAAUUUUUUUUUUAUACAUAAUGACUUGAGAUUUUAGAUUUAUAAUUAUUGAUUCUGUAAAGUGAAUGUAUUGAACAAUAAUUUCAAUUACAUGAAUGAAGUUUAUGUUGGCUUUAAUGAGGA
Non-coding RNA from Prunus avium (sweet cherry), 499 nucleotides. Lineage: Eukaryota; Viridiplantae; Streptophyta; Magnoliopsida; Rosales; Rosaceae. The record is from RefSeq and is a predicted model, not a curated record.